AUACAGAGGGUGCGAGCGUUAAUCGGAAUUACUGGGCGUAAAGCGCGCGUAGGCGGCUUAUUAUGUCAGAUGUGAAAUCCCCGGGCUCAACCUGGGAACUGCAUCUGAUACUGGUAAGCUAGAGUUUUGGAGAGGGAAGUAGAAUUUCAGGUGUAGCGGUGAAAUGCAUAGAGAUCUGAAGGAAUACCAGUGGCGAAGGCGACUUCCUGGCCAAAAACUGACGCUGAGGUGCGAAAGCGUGGGUAGCAAACGGGAUUAGAAACCCUAGUAGUCC
This 274-nucleotide ribosomal RNA is filed under the name uncultured bacterium. RNAcentral's name for it is "partial 16S ribosomal RNA". It matches the Rfam family "Bacterial small subunit ribosomal RNA", at positions 523 to 796 of the family's 1533-position model. The record is from RNAcentral.